GAUGAACGCUGGCGGCGUGCUUAACACAUGCAAGUCGAACGAUGAAGGAAGCUUGCUUCUGGAUUAGUGGCGAACGGGUGAGUAACACGUGAGUAACCUGCCCUUGACUCUGGGAUAAGCACUGGAAACGGUGUCUAAUACCGGAUACGAGCUUCAGCCGCAUGGCUAGGAGUUGGAAAGAAUUUUGGUCAAGGAUGGACUCGCGGCCUAUCAGCUAGUUGGUGAGGUAAUGGCUCACCAAGGCGACGACGGGUAGCCGGCCUGAGAGGGUGACCGGCCACACUGGGACUGAGACACGGCCCAGACUCCUACGGGAGGCAGCAGUGGGGAAUAUUGCACAAUGGGCGAAAGCCUGAUGCAGCAACGCCGCGUGAGGGACGACGGCCUUCGGGUUGUAAACCUCUUUUAGUAGGGAAGAAGCGAAAGUGACGGUACCUGCAGAAAAAGCACCGGCUAACUACGUGCCAGCAGCCGCGGUAAUACGUAGGGUGCAAGCGUUAUCCGGAAUUAUUGGGCGUAAAGAGCUCGUAGGCGGUUUGUCGCGUCUGCUGUGAAAACUGGAGGCUCAACCUCCAGCCUGCAGUGGGUACGGGCAGACUAGAGUGCGGUAGGGGAGAUUGGAAUUCCUGGUGUAGCGGUGGAAUGCGCAGAUAUCAGGAGGAACACCAAUGGCGAAGGCAGAUCUCUGGGCCGUAACUGACGCUGAGGAGCGAAAGCAUGGGGAGCGAACAGGAUUAGAUACCCUGGUAGUCCAUGCCGUAAACGUUGGGAACUAGAUGUAGGGACCAUUCCACGGUUUCUGUGUCGCAGCUAACGCAUUAAGUUCCCCGCCUGGGGAGUACGGCCGCAAGGCUAAAACUCAAAGGAAUUGACGGGGGCCCGCACAAGCGGCGGAGCAUGCGGAUUAAUUCGAUGCAACGCGAAGAACCUUACCAAGGCUUGACAUAUACCGGAAAUGGCUAGAAAUAGUCCCCCCGCAAGGUCGGUAUACAGGUGGUGCAUGGUUGUCGUCAGCUCGUGUCGUGAGAUGUUGGGUUAAGUCCCGCAACGAGCGCAACCCUCGUUCUAUGUUGCCAGCACGUAAUGGUGGGAACUCAUAGGAGACUGCCGGGGUCAACUCGGAGGAAGGUGGGGAUGACGUCAAAUCAUCAUGCCCCUUAUGUCUUGGGCUUCACGCAUGCUACAAUGGCCGAUACAAAGGGCUGCAAUACCGUAAGGUGGAGCGAAUCCCAAAAAGUCGGUCUCAGUUCGGAUUGAGGUCUGCAACUCGACCUCAUGAAGUCGGAGUCGCUAGUAAUCGCAGAUCAGCAACGCUGCGGUGAAUACGUUCCCGGGCCU
This 1338-nucleotide ribosomal RNA is filed under the name uncultured bacterium. Its description in RNAcentral is "bacterial SSU rRNA". It matches the Rfam family "Bacterial small subunit ribosomal RNA", at positions 28 to 1381 of the family's 1533-position model. The record is from RNAcentral.